GUGAAUCUAGCCUGAAUACAGAAAGACGCUUCCGGUCUCAAUUUCUGGAUGGGAGAUGUUAAAAAAGUAAAAGCCCAAGAAUAGUGCAGUAGAACAGUAUGAACGAAAUUCAGCUCCAAAUGAAACAAGUAACUUUCAAUAAUAAUGAGUUAGCUUAACCAGUUAUCGCUCUCCAAUCUAAACAAUUUACCUAUAGUUGUCUGGAGGGGUUGGAAGUUGUUCCCCUCAGACUCGUCGCUCCUGAUACCUGUUCUGCACCGGUAUUUUAUCUAACCGGCCUGAACCAUUGCACACAGUUAAGACGAUACCGACUGCGUCGAAGUAACCGUUAAGAAUAUAAAAGCGAAAUUAAGAAGACUACUACAGCAGUAGUUCGAAGGUUGAGCCACUUUUAGCUUUAGUGUACCUAAGGCUUUUUUGUUUUUAUUCAGCCAACAAAAGGGCACAGUAUUGUAUGUUUUGUUUCGAAUAUUAGCUAGCUUGCUCAGCAUGGUGAACUGAUAGCUAGUGCUAGCUAAUCUAGUAGAGGAGUACUGAAGUGAAUACUGUGUACCGCCGUCAUUUUGCAAACGAACGUGCUGCUCAAAUAGCACCCGAGUAAUCCGGACACUCGUGGUUCCUUUGAGGCAGCCUACGUGGUAGCCACGCCACUGAAUAGCGCUCCUAGCUACCAGGACCGUUAGCAGUUCCAUUCAGCUACGUGGGAGGACCAGUUUGCCAGGACCGAUUGGCGGCUAGCUACGUGGGAUUGCAAACAGACAGACUGGAUGCAAUAUCAACGGUGCACGCGGCACAAACGUGGUGGUCGUGAGUAGCCCUUAUUGGACGCAAAAGAAAACAUUUAACAGGCCUGCAACGGGGGAUGAACUGAUUAUUUUAUUUGUUGUUUUCCAUGCCGGCUUUUGUAUUUUCUUUUAUAUCUGUAUGCAUGUCCCUGUUUGUAAGAGGUGACUAAUUUCAUGUGAACACAUGCCUAAAGUUAUGUUAUACUAGGGAGAGUUUUUGACAGUUACUAUUUUGUGUGGCUUAUUAUUAGCUCCCUUAUUGAUAAUUUAGUUUCAACUGUAAGUUGCUGGUUUAUUGCAGUUCAUUGAUUAGGGAGGUUGCUAUUUUCAUUAUUGACCUAGUGCCCAUAUCAAUUGAGUUUGCUAUACAUUUCUUCAAUAUAGUUUAAAUAGCCUAAACAUAACUAAAUCUUAUUUGUGGUAGGGAAUCAUUAUUAUUUCAAAUACAUGACUAUUUUGGUUAAAUAAAUUAUUUGUAGAUAAUUGUAAAUGUGUUAUGGACUCCACUCACUUCAAUUAGUUGACAUUAUUCAGGUGGCACAAAGUGAACUCAGGUAACAGCCGAGUCUUAACAGGGAAUUGACUCUAGGGCUACACUUAUUUAUCUCAAAUGCUAUGUAUACAGUUCAACAUUUGGAAGUGCUAAUCCACCGCAAUCUUGUGAAGUUAGUAGUUUCUUAAGUCUAAUUCUGGGCCUUUUCCCAUUCCAUAAGAACUCUGUAAUUAACUUGUUAUAUUGCUUAAAGAUUCCAUCAGAAACUGUCACUGGGAUCAUCAUAUAAAUGUAAUUCAAUUGUGGAGCCACCACUAUCUUAAUGAUACUCAUUUUUCCCCACAAAGUCAGUUUAAGUAGCUUCCAUUUGUCCAAAUUCAGCUUAAUUUUCUGUAUUAAAGGGGACAAGUUAAUAUUAAUUAUGUUUUCCAACUCUGGACACAAUCUUAUACCUAAAUAUUUCAAUCCAGUUUGGACCCACUUAAACUGAAAUUUGGCAAAUAUUGAUUGACUGCAUUCUUUCGAUAUCGGCAUACAUUCAGAUUUCUGCCAAUCUAUUUUAUAGCCUGACAGUUUUGAAAAAGACUAUUGAUGCCAGAAGAUGAGGUAUUGACAGUAGAGGAUCCUCAAUAACCAAUAAAAUAUCGUCUGCAUAGAGGAACAUUUUGUAUUCCUCUUCCCCAUGUGAGACCCCUUUUAAUUCUGCUCUCGGCAAUAGCUAGGGGUUCCAGAAAUAAUGUAAAUAGCAGAGGGCUGAGAGGAUCUCCCCGCUUAGUUCCACAUGUCAAUUUAAAGUAACAGUAUGCAACAAUUGUACCUUAAAAUAACAGCUUGAAAAAAAUUGUGCCGCUACAAUGACUUUUAAUAUGGCGAUUUGCGCCUCCGCCAUUGCCAUCGGGGGUCUGUGGGGAAAUAACUCCGCUAUGUAGGAUUCUGAGGCCGCCCGAUCUGGGGGCGGAUGUACUUCGACCUGCUUUCUGGCAGUGAUUACGCAAUGUCAUAUAGUGCCAGUCCACGCUCGCAGCUACAGUAUAAGGGAGAAGCAAGCGAAGUCUCAUCAGUAAUCAUCAUGGAGAACGCACCAAAGAAACAGAAGAAGACGAUGUCUGAUGAAGCAAAGAAGAGAAAAAGAGAGGCCGACAGAGCAAGAGAUCGGACUAGGGUCACAAUCGGAACAGCUUUUACUCGUUGGAGAGAGAGCUGAAAGACACAUUUGGAUACAAGUUCGAUUCACAGCUAGCCAUCUUUCUGCUGGAUUAGUAAGUAAUUUGUACUGUCUCUUGCUUGAUGUUUGACUGUGUUAUCAAAGUUGUUGACUGGCUAGUUUGUCAUACUCGAGGAAAGCACAUUUCAAUGGGUUUUGCUAGGCUUUAGGGUGUCCAGAUUUGAGUUUGUAAAAAAGAGGACGUAGUCGCUGGGGGAGCGUGCGGGGUCCAGCAUGCUAAACACUAGCCUACCCUGCCUUCUCCCCUGCGACGAAGUGUCCUCUUUUUCACAAACUCAAAUCUGGUCACCCUAUUAUAACACUUUUGGACAUUGAUGCUAGGUUUACGUCCUCUUUUUUGUCCAGGUAAAAGAGGACUUGUCCGCCCGGGUAAAAUAGGACGUCUGGUCACCCUAGCUUAGCCGCUAUCAAGACAUCUCGUUAGCGAUAUCAGACAUCUUGUUAUAACACGCUUGGACAAUGAUGCUAGUAAUAAUCGAGUAGCUAGUAAUAACGUCGUAUACACUUCUUUGUAAUGUUAUUGUGAACGCUAUCUGGCUAACUUGCCACCCAAGCUCCACUAGUCUCAGGAUAUUCCAGAUAUUUCCAAGGAAUUUAGCAAUAGUUGACUUUGUCUGCUAGCAUUCCCUUACAGCCAGUUGGUCUGUGGUUCAUGUUUCGUUAGCUUAGUAUGCUACUUGUGUGUUACCUGACUUGAAUGCCGUGAUUUGUGAAAACAUAUAUAAAGAUGUAGCGGCAAACAUACUGAAUUGGUUCUUUCUAUCAAAAGCGGUAGGGAAUGUCUACUCCCAGCAAGGGACAUGCACAGCCACCACCGCCGCCUGUAUCUAGUAUUUCAGAAGAGUCCGACCGAGAUGGGUGUAUCUUAGAACUGCGUUUCUAAACCAGCCAUGCAGGACAUUGUAAGUUGUGACUGACUUAUUUAUCUUUUGAAUCAGGGACAAAGAAUUCGCUAUGCAAGGUGUUCAACCGUUGGGCAAAGAAACCGAAGCGGUUGGUGUGCUAGAAUCUAGCAUGCACUCCUUGAGCAUUGCUGAAGAGGAGCAGCAUGACUCUCUGGAUGAGGAGGAGGCGAAUUAUAUGAGGAAUAGCAUUAUUGACAUGGAUGAUUGCUGGGAGGAUCCUAAUCAGAAGGGCUUGGAAGAAGAUCGGGACAGCUCUGAUGAAGACUAUAGUCCUUUUCUUCAUCUACGUGCCCCAGCUAUGACUGCCAACAUAAACCAACUCCUGGAGAUAAGCAUGGAUAAAGCCGUGCUUGAUGUGGCAACACCCAAUCCUCCAGGUGAGGACAUACAAGAAACUCCAGAACAACAAAAAGUUUCAGCUCUGGGACACGGAGCAGCUGGAUGGCACCAUCACGCUGGUGCGCAGCUCCAGCAUGCGGCAGUUCAACUGGGGCUACACCCAGUUCUCUCCUACUGCUGGUGUCGGGGGGUCUACCUGGGCCCCCAUCAGUGGCGGUUCUACACGGAGGCCUGGGGUGGCCCGUGCCCCUGUAGACAUAUCCCUGGCCACCCCGUGCCGACCAAAUAAAAAAAUAUGAAUUUAUUAUGAUUUUUACACCCGAGCGCCAAAAGCAGAACUAAUACGACGCAACGUUCUACACGGGUAAAUUGUAGUGUGGUGCUCGUCGUCGAGUGAGAGCUCAGCAACUACUAUUCAUGGAUACCAUGUGACGUCACUGUGUCUAAGCGCCGCCAUAUUUGUGUCCAACACGGACACAGUAGACUAGCUGUGCGUCGGUCACCCACAGAAAGUUCAAAUGCCCGGGAUAUGUUUUGCUGUUGGAUGCGACAACUGUCACCAAAGAAACCCAGAUAUACAAUUUCUUUAUAUUCCAAAAGAUUUAGGGAAUGACUGACCUGUUAAGUGAAAUGUAGCACGUUGAUACAAUCGUGAAUAAUUACUGUGUCUUAUUAAAGCUAAACUCUCCUGAGCAAGCUAGAGUGCUAAUAGCUAGCGAGCUGUUUUGCCCUUUCCUAAAGGCUUUAGCUACAACUCGUCAGCCCAUAUUGGCACUCUUAACCACCACUAAAAUAACACGGUUGAUAAUCGCUGUUUUAAUUACUUACAUGACCUGUGAUCACAUACAUAUUUUUUGUCUCCAGAUGCCAUAUCUUGGUUUCGUUCACCCAUCCUGCAACUGCAUAUUGAUAGGCAUUUGUACUCUUGAAAUUUCAGGUGUUUGGGGAUGGAUUAUGUACAAGAUAAAUGUAAAUGUCGGGAAAAGAAAGUUGGGGCAGACGCUUUGCAGACUUUAAGGGACAAAAUAAAGUUGAAGUUAAUAAAUAUGGAUCGCAGCCAAUAAUCAAUGCCUUUUCCAAAUAUCGCUGUCCUUCUGUCUCAUUUAGAUGUGCUAUCAGCUACAGCUCGCUAGCUUGCUCAAGAGAGUUUAGGUUUGAUAAGACACAAUAAUUAUUCACGAUUGUAUCAACGCCAAAAAAAAAAUCCUAAAGGAGACAUCAUAAAAAGCACAUGCUUAGAUUUUAGUGUGAAUAGCAGUGGCGAUUUUAGCCCGAAAUUUCUGGUGGGGCAAUUUUGUAUGACGAUAUGUUUGUUGUCAUGACUGUUGGCCAGCUAACCAACCACUAGAAUAAAAAAAAUGUCUAAAUUUGAAGAAACUAUAAACAGAAAACAAUACUAUUAUAAUAUUAUUAUUAUAUUAUUACUAUAUAGUAUUAUAUAUGACUACCUAGCUACUAUUGGUUAAAAAAAAAAUCUUAUAAUUUUGAUGUGCCCCUCUGGUUAAACACUGGCCCCUCCUUGGCCCCCCUAGUAAAAAUUGUCUAGAACCGCCACUGGCCCCCAUCACUCCUCCUCCGGGGAGAUCGCCGUCAUCAGCUUAGGUGGGAGUUUGCUUUCUUUCUGUCCCCCUUUUUAGUCUCUCUGUCUCUGGUUUUUGUCUUCAUUCAGGCUAUUUGCCUGUUUUGGAGUCAAGUGUGUAAACCGCCUCUCUCACUCACAGACCUACUCUCUCUCUCUCUCUCCCUCUCUCGAGUGCAUGCUGGGAGCGAGUGACAGACGCCCCUGCGGAUGGCCCUGCCAUGUUGGACCCCCUCGCGCUUCCGGCUGGUGGACCGGCCGUGGGUGGGUCUGUUGUGGUUGAGCCUGUCGCGAUUGACCUUGCCGUGAAGGAGACUGUUGUGGCAGGUUGUGAUGUGGACCCGGCCGUCGCUGACCCUGCAGACCCGGCCGUCGCUGACCCUGCAGACCCGGCCGUCGCAGACCCAGCCGACGCUCACCCAGCCGGUGCGUACCCCACAGCCAGCGCUGCGGACCCGGACCCCGCAGCCAGCGCUGCCGACCCGGACCCCGCAGCCAGCGCUGCCGACCCGGACCCCGCAGCCACUGCUGCCGACCCGGACCCCGCAGCCACCGCUGCCGACCCACACCCCGCAGCUGACCCGGACCCUGCUGCCACAGCUGCCGACCAAGAUCCCCCAGGAUCCGUUUCCGAUGCAGGCCCAGCAGCACCCUCUGCCGACACCGGUCCAGCAGCACCUCCUGAUGGCGUCGCUGCUGAUGGCUCUGCUGCCCCUGUCCCGAGCGCCCCUGUCCCGAGCGUCCCAGGCGCCCCUGUCCUGAGCGUCUCAGGCGCCCCUGUCCCGAGCGUCUCAGGCGCCCCUGUCCCAAGCAUCCAAGGUGUCCCUGCGCCGGUCCCAGGCGUCCCUGCGCCGGCCCCAGGCGCUCCUGCUCUGCCCGUUUGGCCACCCACCCGGCCGGCCGCCAAAGACUCUGCCCCUGUUAGGCCACCCACCCGGCCGGCCGCCAAAGACUCUGCCCCUAUUUGGCCACCCACACGGCCAGCCACCAGAUACUCUGCCCCUACUUGGCCACUGGUCCUGCCGGCCACCAGACAUUCUGCCCUUGCUUGGCCGUCCACCCGGUCGGCCACCAGACCCUUGGGUUCUAUCCAGCCUUCUGUCUGGCCCGGCCUACCCUACCUAGCCUUGCUCUGGACCCCCUCCACCCACCCUAAGUGGAUUUGAUCUGUUUUUUUUUUUUUCUGGAAUCCGGCCCUUAGAGGGGGGGUACUGUAAGGUCUGUGUUCUGUCCGUGUUUAAUUUCUGAGUUUGUCUCCCUUGUGUUGUCACAUGUUUGUUCCCUUGUCUAGUCCUCGUGCUUCCUUGUUCCCGCCAUGUGCUUUCCUAUGUUUGUUUGUCUAUGCCAUGUGCCCUCUUGUUGUUCGUGUCUCCACCCCUCACCUGUUCCCAAUCACCCGGUUUGUUUGUAUUAUUGGUUUCUCCUGUGUCCUGUUAAUUCCCCUUGUUUAGUCCACCUGUGUCAUUGUCUGCCCCGCCUUGAUUGUUCUCACCUGUCCCUCGUUAUAUGUUGCCUGUGUGUAUAUAUAGUCCUUGUAUUCUUGUUUCUCGUUGCGUCUUUGUAGUUAUAUGUUACCUGGUAUGUUCAUUGUUUUUCCCGCUGUUCCUCGUGUUUCCAGCGCUUCCUCCUGGUUAAUGUGAUUUACUCGUGCUUCUGACCUCUGCCUGUACAACGACUAUUCUCCUGCCUAUUCCCUGUUUGGAUUUGUUUGCUACUCUUGGACUGCCUACCUGUGUACCGAACCCG
Molecule: long non-coding RNA, 7072 nt
Organism: Clupea harengus (Atlantic herring)
Lineage: Eukaryota; Metazoa; Chordata; Actinopteri; Clupeiformes; Clupeidae
Source: Ensembl